CAGUAGCCACGGUAAUACGAAGGGGGCUAGCGUUGUUCGGAUUUACUGGGCGUAAAGGGCGCGUAGGCGGACUGAUAAGUCAGGGGUGAAAUCCCAAGGCUCAACCUUGGAACUGCCUUUGAUACUGUUUGUCUUGAGUUCGAGAGAGGUAAGUGGAACUGCGAGUGUAGAGGUGAAAUUCGUAGAUAUUCGCAAGAACACCAGUGGCGAAGGCGGCUUACUGGCUCGAAACUGACGCUGAGGCGCGAAAGCGUGGGGAGCAAACAGGAUUAGAGACCCCAGUAGUCCCUGUCUCUUAUAC
Molecule: ribosomal RNA, 301 nt
Filed under: uncultured bacterium
Lineage: Bacteria
Description: partial 16S ribosomal RNA
Rfam family: Bacterial small subunit ribosomal RNA
Source: RNAcentral